AGCGUUGUGCAGUGGCAGUGUCCUAGCCAACAAGUUUUAUCUGAGGCACGAUUAUUGCUAAUUGAAAACUUUUCCCAGCACCAAACCAUGACAACUUGCAAUAUAGUCAGCAUUGGCAAUUUUUGAUAGUCUCUAUGGAGA
Sciurus vulgaris (Eurasian red squirrel) is the source of this 141-nucleotide small nuclear RNA. Its record names the gene U4. It matches the Rfam family "U4 spliceosomal RNA". From Rfam's summary of the family: U4 small nuclear RNA (U4 snRNA) is a component of the major U2-dependent spliceosome. The structure of U4 snRNA from yeast and human has been reported. U4 snRNA presents a k-turn RNA motif in the 5p-SL related to recognition of Snu13 protein. Lineage: Eukaryota; Metazoa; Chordata; Mammalia; Rodentia; Sciuridae. The record is from Ensembl.